This 258-nucleotide unclassified non-coding RNA is filed under the name Hevea brasiliensis (rubber tree). The record is from RNAcentral. Lineage: Eukaryota; Viridiplantae; Streptophyta; Magnoliopsida; Malpighiales; Euphorbiaceae.
CCAGCCACUGAUCCUUCUGAUCUUCACAAUUUCACUCCCUGUUUUCCCCUCAGUACCCUCUUCUUCUUCUCCAUUAUCACUACCUGUACUUAUUCCAUGUAAAACCUUACUUUCUUUGAAUCUUUCUUCAACGCUAGGCACCCCAUGCAAGACGUUCUUGACUAAAAAAUCCAAGCCCCUACAGUUCUUGAAGAAAGGAUGCUUUAACAGCUUCUCAGCGGAGGGCCUCUUUGAUGGAUCUUGAUCAAGACAAGAAGC